This 77-nucleotide transfer RNA is filed under the name Bacillota bacterium. RNAcentral describes it as "tRNA-Pro". It matches the Rfam family "tRNA". Rfam says of the family: Transfer RNA (tRNA) molecules are approximately 80 nucleotides in length. Lineage: Bacteria; Bacillati; Bacillota. The record is from RNAcentral. RNAcentral also lists the same sequence under 1 other name.
CGGGAUGUAGCGCAGCUUGGUAGCGCGCUUGGUUCGGGACCAAGAGGUCGCAGGUUCAAAUCCUGUCAUCCCGACCA